Zea mays is the source of this 2626-nucleotide long non-coding RNA. RefSeq lists it as uncharacterized. The transcript is spliced from 2 exons. NCBI's taxonomy places the organism in Eukaryota, Viridiplantae, Streptophyta, Magnoliopsida, Poales, Poaceae. The record is from RefSeq and is a predicted model, not a curated record.
ACUCCCAGUCCCUCUCCUCCCUUGAUUUCGCCCAGCCUCCAUCUCUCUUUCCAGCCAUGGAUGCCGCCCCUCCCUGGCACCCUCAUCUCCACGGGAGCUCGCCCUAGCUCCAGCUUCAACCAUGGACGGCGACCUCUCCUGCCUAUAGCAGGUCAGCGCCCCAUCUCCUCAACAUCUCGGCUCCCUGUCCCAUCUCUCUCUCACGAGCCACUCUCCUCGUUCUCCAUGGCGUCGACAUGGGGCUCGCCCCUGCAACCUCGUCUCGCUGGGUCUCCUCAGGGCGCCGGGAUGCUGCUUCCUAUACAUCGUGCGACUUCCUGGUGCUUGCUCUCGUCCUAGGCCAUGGAGCAGCAGCAGUCACGACACUCCUUCGUGUCGCGCCCUUGACGUGAUCGAUGAAAUACCGCAGCGAGCUCCAACUCGAUCUGCACAGCCCCUGCGCGACGUCACAAACUCCGCUCGUUGUCGAUGUCGUGCUUCGUGCAUCGUGUGUUCGACGAAAAUCCCAAGUCCAUGGAUAGCACAUGCACAACUCAAAUCCGAUCGGCCAGGUUGUUUGAUGUGUAUUUUACUCAUUUGAUUUAGUUGAUGAUGUGUUUGUAUGUGUGGGGUGAUGAGAAAAAUAAAGGAGAUGCGUCGUUCGGUAGUAAGGAUUAAGUUAAAAUGUAGUUUAUGGUGUGAAGAGUGCGUCGAUAAAUAUGUAUGCCAUUGAGUGGUUAAAUGUUGUGUUGAUCGGCUAGAGGUCCUAUACAAGUGUCGUCGCUGUCCAAAAAUUUAUUUGGAAGCAAGUAGUGUCGAUGCUUCGAUUUCGGUUGAAGUCAGAGAAUAAUUCGAGGAGGUAUAUAUGCGAGUACUUUAAGUUCUUAGGUGUUCAAGUUGUACUGUAGAUUUCUAUGCUAUAUGCUGUUUAUUUAGGCGUCAAGCAAGUUAAUCUAAUAAGAUGAUUUAGAGAACGAGUCAAAUAAUGUGUAGGAGCUAAGUAUGAAUUAAAACAAGAUAGUUGAUAUUUUGUACUGCAUGUACUGUUCAUUAUCUCGCUUGUGUUAAAAUUUGACAGACAUAGGUCUAAUAGUUUAGGAGUUAUGAAUUUUCCAAGUCCAGUUUCAGAAUUUGUCCAAAUGUUGUACUGAUUUCGAAAAUUGCCCUGUUUGAAUAAAUUAAACUGAGAAUCAGCCCUUAGUAAUUAUAGAAGAAUUGUAGUACCUUUCUCAAGCUUUCCAACAAAUUUUGGAGCACCCUUUUUGGUGGUCUAGGGACCAAGUUACAGCUGUUUGAACUAUAGAGUCUGAAUCUGUCCAAAUCUGGACAGAGACGUCUGUUUGUAUUAACUGACUUUGAUAUGUAUUGAAUUAACAUGAAAUAUUUAUAGAUGAAUUAUAGACAAUUCUACUAGCUUUCUAAAAAGUCUAGGAUCACCUUAUUUGGAUGUCUGAAACUCCAGUUAUGAAUUUUUGAAGUAAGUAAUCGAAUUAUGUCCAAAUCUGGACAGAGUUUAUGUUUAGUUCUGUUUGACCUUUCUAAAGGUCGAAUCUUGUUGUGAUGAUAAUACCAAAGGUGUAGAGGACUUUAUAAGCUUUCCAGAAAGUCCUAGUUUAUCAUUUUAGGAUGAAUAUUUUGUGAGUUAUGAGCUAAACAAAUAGCUGAUGUUUUGCUGUCCAAAAUCAGCAAGUAUUAAAAUGAUUCCUUGGAGUUUCUUUUGUAUGGACACCUAGAUUUAGUUAGUUCUUGUCUUGAUAAAUGAAGUUGGGCGGCUAAUUUUCAGAUUUGCACCUAUUAUGGCUGUAGUGGAUUGAGCUAAUUGUAUUGGCUAAUAUAGUGUAACAAAAAUCAUCAAUGGGUUAUAAGUGUUUGGUUGUGUUGACUGCCUUGGGCAUAUUCUCAAUUAGGUUUAUUGUCUAGAAUGGUGACUGUAGUUGACUGGUUUUGUUUUUAUAGGUAUGAUCAUGUAACUCAAUUUUUUAUAACCCAUUGGUCAUGAUACUUACAACAUAGAACAUUGUUCUUGUGUCCUUAUAAUUAUAAAUAAUGGGUUGUUCAUUAGUGCUAAUAAUAGUGUUAGUCCGUUGGCAGUGUGCUCUAGUCCAUAAGCUUAAGGCUUGUGUGUAGUCUUAUGAUUGCUCGAUGCUUGAGUUAGAUAUACUUAAGUGUAAAAGAUGCGCUUGUGGUACUUAGUAAUAUCUUCACAUAGUGUGCUCAUAGGAAUUGUGAUGACUUGUUUUAAGUAUUUAUCCUCUUUAGUAUAGAUUAUCUAUUUUGUGUUCUUGCUCAUGCUCAUAUGCACUAUGCAUCUCCAAUAGGUACGCUAGAUGAUUAUGUGAAUUGGAGGGCAUGGAUCAGGAUGGAUCACAAGGUGGCUUUGAUGGACCCAUCUCGAUAUGGACGACUUGAUCAAGUGUCAGGAUUGUUGAUGCUCACCAAGCGGACGUCAUAUAACCACACUAACCUAGUGUAUCCCAGGCAAGCCCCGGUGCAUUUGCCACCUCCUUGUUGUUAUAAAACUUUUAUCACUUAUAUGUUGCAUUAGGUGAUAGGAGUUGAGUGAUGAAACAACUGAUGCAUUACCAUUCCUUGGAAUUUGAUUACUAUUCCUUGAUUCCUGUUUAUAAAAGAGAACUAAAGAUGCUUA